Molecule: non-coding RNA, 120 nt
Organism: Hordeum vulgare subsp. vulgare (domesticated barley)
Lineage: Eukaryota; Viridiplantae; Streptophyta; Magnoliopsida; Poales; Poaceae
Source: Rfam
CUAGUACUCCCUCCAUCCGGAAAUACUUGUUCUAGAGAUGAUUGUAUCUAGACUUAUUUUAAUUAUAGAUACAUUUAAUAUAUUUAUUUUUAGCAUAAGUAUUUCCGAACGGAGGGAGUA